This 865-nucleotide long non-coding RNA is filed under the name Homo sapiens (human). Its description in RNAcentral is "long non-coding RNA NONHSAT080200.2". Lineage: Eukaryota; Metazoa; Chordata; Mammalia; Primates; Hominidae. The record is from RNAcentral.
UUUUUAUUUUCUCCCAUUGAGAUGUCAUCCUCAAAUUCCGGGACAAGAUUGAGAAAAUGGAGAAAGAUGUGUAUGCAGUUCUGCAGCUAGAGGCGGAGGAAAAAGAGAUGCAGCAGUCAGAAGCCCAGUCAAUACAGCAAAGCGGCUCCUGGAGAAGGGGAAGGAGGCAGUGGUCCAAGAGCCCGAGAGGAGCUGGUUCCAGACCAAAGAAGAGAGGAAGAAGGAGAAAAUGCCAAAGCUCUGCAGGAAUUUGACUUGGCCUUAAGAGGAAAGAAGAAAAGGAAGAAGUUUAUGAAGGAUGCCAAAAAAAAGGGGGAGAUGACACAGAGGAAAGGUCUCAGUUUGAAAUCCUCAAGGCGCAGAUGUUUGCUGAACGGCUAGCGAAGAGGAAUCGCAGAGCCAAGCGGGCCCGAGCAAUGCCCGAGGAGGAGCCAGUGAGAGGUCCUGCAAGAAGCAAAAGCAGGGGAAGAAAUCUGUAUUUGAUGAAGAACUCACCAACACAAGCAAGAAGGCCCUGAAACAGUAUCGAGCUGGCCUUCCUUUGAAGAAAGGAAACAGUUGGGCUUGCCCCACCAGAGACGAGGAGGAAACUUUAAAUCUAAAUCCAGUACAAGAGGAGGAAGUAGCUGUCGUGGCCUGAAGAAAUUCAUGGGGGCAGCCCUUAAAUCCCUUCCCUGUGGGAAGUCAUCCUGGCUGGUCUGUCUUUUCUCCAUUUGUUUAAAAAAAAAACAAAAACAAAAAACAACACUUUGGUGUGGUGGUAUGGUACGUAGCUAUUUUCCUAAGCAUGUCUGUCAAUCUCCCUUCUUGCUGAUUAGCUUUCAUAUGACUAUAUUAAAUGGAAGUAUUUUUGGGAAAAGAGAAA